RNAcentral lists this ribosomal RNA (785 nucleotides) under uncultured archaeon. Its description in RNAcentral is "bacterial SSU rRNA". It matches the Rfam family "Archaeal small subunit ribosomal RNA", at positions 74 to 865 of the family's 1478-position model. The record is from RNAcentral.
AGUCACGGCACACAGCUCAGUACACGUGCUAAUCUGCCUAGGAGAGAACAACCGGGAAUGGCGUAUCUCUCGAUAGGAAGAACUCUGGAACGAGUCUUUACUUAAAUAGUGCACGUUAUCCUCGUCGCAUCGCCUAAGGAUGAGUCCGCGACGAUCAGGUUGUUGGCGAGGUAAUGGCUCACCAAGCCUUUUUCCGUGCGCCGUGAGAGCGGGAGCCCGGAGAUGGGCACUGAGACAAGGGCCAGCCCUACGGGGCGCAGCAGUCGCGAAAACUUUGCAAUAAGCGAAAGCUUGACAGGGCUAUCCCGAGUGCCAUCCGCUGAGGAAGACUCUUUCCCAGUCUAGAACGCUGGGGGAAUAAGGAGAGGGCAAGUCUGGUGUCAGCCGUCGCGGUGAUACCAGCUCUCCGAGUGGUGUGGAUGUUUAUUGGGCCUAAAGCAUCAGUAGCUGGCUAGGUCAGUCCCUUGUUAAAUCCACCGAAUUAAUCGUUGGAUUGCGGGGGAUUGCUUGGCUAGGGGACGAGAGAGGCAGACGGUAUUUUCGGGGUAGGGGUGAAAUCCCAUAAUCCCGGGAAGACCACCAGUGGCGAAGGCUGUCUGGUAGAACGCGCCCGACGGUGAGGGAUGAAACCUGGGGGAGCGAUCCGGAUUAGAUACCCGGGUAGUCCCAGCUGUAAACGAUGCAGACUAGGUGUUUGGACGGCCACGUGCCGUUCUAGUGCCGCAGGGAAGCUGUUAAGUCUGCCGCCUGGGGAGUACGAUCGCAGGAUUGAAACUUAAAGGAAU